UCACUUACCUGGAUGGGGUCAAUGAGCGAUCAAGAAGGCCCAUGGCCUAGGUUGGUGACACUUUGGAGGGGCGCCUGCCUAAGGUCGGCCCAAAUGGUCGAACCUACGUCAUAAUUUAUGCGGCUAAAAAAAAAGUCAUUGUUUCAU
RNAcentral lists this small nuclear RNA (147 nucleotides) under Nicotiana attenuata. RNAcentral describes it as "snRNA U1". It matches the Rfam family "U1 spliceosomal RNA". Rfam says of the family: U1 is a small nuclear RNA (snRNA) component of the spliceosome (involved in pre-mRNA splicing). Lineage: Eukaryota; Viridiplantae; Streptophyta; Magnoliopsida; Solanales; Solanaceae. The record is from RNAcentral.